RNAcentral lists this long non-coding RNA (732 nucleotides) under Nicotiana benthamiana. RNAcentral describes it as "long non-coding RNA (NBEN_LNC011842)". The record is from RNAcentral. Lineage: Eukaryota; Viridiplantae; Streptophyta; Magnoliopsida; Solanales; Solanaceae.
ACGAGUUCAAUAGCAAGAUGGCUUUAUCUUUCUCCUCGAUUUUCACUUCGAGGUUGGCAAGAUGUGUGAUUAGUCCGUUAAACACAUUUAAAUGUGACAAAAAAUUCAUACCUUCACCCGUGUGUAGGGCGCAUAACUGCUUCUUCAGGUACAAUUUACUUGUCAGCGUUUUGGACAUGUAUAGACUUUCCAACAUUACCAAAUUCCAAGUGCAGUGUCUUCAUCAAUGAUGUUAUUUACCACAUCAUCCGAUAAGUGCAACCUGAUUGCACUAGCAACUCUUUCAUCCAAGUCAGCCCAAUCCUCAGUUUAUCUUCCUCCUCGAUUUUCACUCAGAGGUUGGCAAGCUGUGUGAUUAGUCCGAUAAACCCAUUUAAAUAUGACAAAGAAUUCAUACCUUCACCCAUGUGUAGGGCGUAUAACUGCUUCUUCAGGUAAAAUUUAUUUGUCAGCAUCUUGGACAUGUAUAGGCUUUCCAACCCUGUCCAAAUUCCACGUGCAGUGUCUUCAUCAAUGAUAUUAUUUAACACAUCAUCAGGUAAGUGCAACCUGAUUGCACUAGCAGUUUUUUCAUCCAAGUCAGCCCAAUCCUCAGCUUUUAUGGUAUCAGGCUUUUUGGCAUCGGCAUCUAGUACCUUGUGUAAUCCUUGUUGGAUGAGCAAAUCCCUCAUCCUUCUUUGCCAUGUUGAGAAAUUAUUAUGUCCUUUGAAUUUUGCUACCUUGUACUUUACU